GCAAACUUGGUCAUUUAGAGGAAGUAAAAGUCGUAACAAGGUUUCCGUAGGUGAACCUGCGGAAGGAUCAUUAUCGAUUCAACCUGAGACGGAUUCGAGCAUGCAACCGCGUGCUCUCCGUUUCUUACACACACCUGUGCACCUGUUGUAGGUCCCGCAAGGGAUCUAUGUCUUUCUCAUAUACCCCAUUGUAUGUUUAUAGAAUGUACCUUUGUUGCUUCUCGUCAGAGAACAAUAAUAAAACCUUUAUAACUUUCAGCAACGGAUCUCUUGGCUCUCGCAUCGAUGAAGAACGCAGC
This 299-nucleotide unclassified non-coding RNA is filed under the name uncultured fungus. Its description in RNAcentral is "partial contains small subunit ribosomal RNA, internal transcribed spacer 1, and 5.8S ribosomal RNA". The stretch from base 1 to 73 matches the Rfam family "Eukaryotic small subunit ribosomal RNA", at positions 1759 to 1831 of the family's 1831-position model. The record is from RNAcentral. Lineage: Eukaryota; Fungi.